AGCGAACGUUUGCGGCGGGCUUAACACAUGCAAGUCGAACGAGAAUCCCUUCGGGGAGGAAAGUGGCGCACGGGUGCGUAACACGUGGAUAACCAACCCAUUGGUUUGGGACAACACCGGGAAACUGGUGCUAAUACCAGAUGUGUCGCAGCUGUCUUCAGGCGGUUGCGAGAAAGGCCCGCAAGGGUCGCCAACGGACGGGUCCGCGUCCCAUCAGCUAGUUGGUGAGGUAAUGGCUCACCAAGGCAAAGACGGGUAGCUGGUCUGAGAGGAUGAUCAGCCACACUGGAACUGAGACAUGGUCCAGACUCCUACGGGAGGCAGCAGUGGGGACUAUUGCGCAAUGGGCGAAAACCUGACGCAGCCACGCCGCGUGAGCGAUGAAGGUCUUCGGAUCGUAAAGCUCUGUGGGGGGAGAAGAAGAAAGCCGGUGAAGAGCCGGCCCUGACGGUAUCCCCUUAGCAAGCACCGGCUAACUCCGUGCCAGCAGCCGCGGUAAAGUAGUCG
Molecule: ribosomal RNA, 507 nt
Filed under: uncultured bacterium
Lineage: Bacteria
Description: bacterial SSU rRNA
Rfam family: Bacterial small subunit ribosomal RNA
Source: RNAcentral